GCGGCAGCUUACCAUGCAGUCGAACGGUAGCAGGAAGAAAGCUUGCUUUCUUUGCUGACGAGUGGCGGACGGGUGAGUAAUGCUUGGGAAUCUGGCUUAUGGAGGGGGAUAACUGUGGGAAACUGCAGCUAAUACCGCGUAUUCUCUGAGGAGGAAAGGGUGGGACCUUAGGGCCACCUGCCAUAAGAUGAGCCCAAGUGGGAUUAGGUAGUUGGUGGGGUAAAGGCCUACCAAGCCUGCGAUCUCUAGCUGGUCUGAGAGGAUGACCAGCCACACUGGAACUGAGACACGGUCCAGACUCCUACGGGAGGCAGCAGUGGGGAAUAUUGCGCAAUGGGGGGAACCCUGACGCAGCCAUGCCGCGUGAAUGAAGAAGGCCUUCGGGUUGUAAAGUUCUUUCGGUAAUGAGGAAGGGAUGUUGUUAAAUAGAUAGCAUCAUUGACGUUAAUUACAGAAGAAGCACCGGCUAACUCCGUGCCAGCAGCCGCGGUAAUACGGAGGGUGCGAGCGUUAAUCGGAAUAACUGGGCGUAAAGGGCACGCAGGCGGACUUUUAAGUGAGAUGUGAAAUCCCCGAGCUUAACUUGGGAACUGCAUUUCAGACUGGGAGUCUAGAGUACUUUAGGGAGGGGUAGAAUUCCACGUGUAGCGGUGAAAUGCGUAGAGAUGUGGAGGAAUACCGAAGGCGAAGGCAGCCCCUUGGGAAUGUACUGACGCUCAUGUGCGAAAGCGUGGGGAGCAAACAGGAUUAGAUACCCUGGUAGUCCACGCUGUAAACGCUGUCGAUUUGGGGAUUGGGCUAUAUGCUUGGUGCCCGAAGCUAACGUGAUAAAUCGACCGCCUGGGGAGUACGGCCGCAAGGUUAAAACUCAAAUGAAUUGACGGGGGCCCGCACAAGCGGUGGAGCAUGUGGUUUAUUUCGAUGCAACGCGAAGAACCUUACCCUACUCUUG
RNAcentral lists this ribosomal RNA (952 nucleotides) under Pasteurella multocida. RNAcentral's name for it is "bacterial SSU rRNA". It matches the Rfam family "Bacterial small subunit ribosomal RNA", at positions 39 to 983 of the family's 1533-position model. Lineage: Bacteria; Pseudomonadati; Pseudomonadota; Gammaproteobacteria; Pasteurellales; Pasteurellaceae. The record is from RNAcentral.